RNAcentral lists this long non-coding RNA (550 nucleotides) under Manihot esculenta (cassava). RNAcentral's name for it is "long non-coding RNA (MESC_LNC008752)". The record is from RNAcentral. Lineage: Eukaryota; Viridiplantae; Streptophyta; Magnoliopsida; Malpighiales; Euphorbiaceae.
UCGGAGCAAUAAAAGAAUGAGAUGCACCAGGGUCCAUCAAGGCAUACACAUCUGAACAACCAAUGAUUAAGUUACCUACCACCACGGUGUUAGAUGCAUCUGCCUCCUGCUGUGUCAUUGUGAAGAUCCGUGCUGGAGCUUAUGGACCUUCACCUCUGAAGCCCGCUGAAGAAGAGGCUGCCCCUCUCCCUCUGCCUCUGCCACUGGCCUGAGUCAUGGCUGGAGCUGCUGGCUGCGCUACACUGCCUGAGGCUGUCUGCUGGGACUGAGCCAUCGGGACUGCUCUUGGACAUUCUCGAGCCAUAUGCCCCUCCUGACCACAUUUGAAACAGGCGUUUGUCCCAAGCCGACAUACUCCCUUGUGUGGCCUACCACACCUUGCACAAACUGUAUUAUCCGCACCAGAGCUUGAGCCACUCCCAAAUCCCAGACUGGACUUGACUUUACUCCAGAACUUAUUCUUCUUACCCUUGGGUUUACCCCAUCUCUUACUGCCUGAAGCUGCUGCACUCAAGGUAGAGGGAUCUAACCUUCCCCCACCCGGAGUUUU